Molecule: ribosomal RNA, 230 nt
Filed under: uncultured microorganism
Description: partial 16S ribosomal RNA
Rfam family: Bacterial small subunit ribosomal RNA
Source: RNAcentral
UACGUAGGGUGCAAGCGUUGUCCGGAAUUAUUGGGCGUAAAGAGCUCGUAGGCGGUUUGUCGCGUCUGCUGUGAAAACUCGGGGCUUAACCCCGGGCCUGCAGUGGGUACGGGCAGACUGGAGUGCGGUAGGGGAGACUGGAAUUCCUGGUGUAGCGGUGAAAUGCGCAGAUAUCAGGAGGAACACCGGUGGCGAAGGCGGGUCUCUGGGCCGUAACUGACGCUGAGGAG